UCACUCCAAGCCUGCUGUCCCCCAGAAAAGGGUAAUGACAUAACCUUGAAGUGUCACGUUGUGGGCAAGAGCCAGUAAAAAGCUACACAAAAUAACCUAGUGGGAUGUUUGCAACUUGUUUUUAAUCUACAGACUGCUAUAGAACAUAAGGUCUAACAAAAAUGUAGGCUGUGUUGACCCUUCCUCCCAAGGGAGAGGUCAUGAAGACUAAAAUGCUCCUCUAAGAGGUGGAACAGCAUACGUAGAGUUUGAAAUCCUAACAGCACGAGAGAGAGAAGCAUCCCUCUGAGACAACCUCUGCAUUCUUCUUGAGUCCCAUAUAAAGCUGUUUGGCUUUCCCUUGCUGGGAUGAUAAGAUUUUUAAACAGGAAAAUGACAUGGAUGCAAAAGAUGGUGAAGCACUUCAGGGACAAAAGGCAUUAGCAGUCACUUCACAGCAACUGUCAGAGAGACAAGACCUUCUGUCCCUAUCUGCACUGACUGCUCUCUCUGGAGAGGAGCCCUCCAAAUUGCCACUGGUAAAGAUGUCAAUACAGAAAAGUCACCCAGAAGCAUCUCAGGUGGCCCACUUACUGCACAUCCCCACUGUGGAACAGGAUCAGCUACACCUGUCUUUUUUCUGUAACACAAUUUGGCAGACUCCAGUGUGCACUCCCCCAGGAAUGGAACCUGCAUAGAAUUGUUAAUUAAAGCAUUUGAAGUUUUUUAAUUGCCUUUGAUGUUCCUCUCAUUCAAAUAAUAAAAUUUUGGAGGAAAGCUCAUUUAGCUCUCUGAAGACAGGCUUAAAGGGAAGUAUUUGGCCUCAUGCCUCACACAGGAUCUCUUCUGAAGCAGUUCAUGAUGACAGCAGUCUCACCAUCCACUUACCAAGCAAUUUCCCAGGUUGAGGCAAUUCUGUUAGGUUAGAACUGAUGACCCAGUCUCCAAUACGCAGGCAGGAGAAGGUGAAAGGACAAGAAUCUCUUCUAAGUGUACAGGCAGUGAACUUUUCUGAGUCAACAGUG
Molecule: long non-coding RNA, 1004 nt
Organism: Passer montanus (Eurasian tree sparrow)
Lineage: Eukaryota; Metazoa; Chordata; Aves; Passeriformes; Passeridae
Exons: 3
Source: RefSeq, a predicted model, not a curated record